GGGCUUGGCAGAGAGUGAGGACGGCACAGGCCCCACGAUUUUAAUCAUUAAAUGUGAUCCUUAUUAUUUCGACGGCAAGGCUACGGAAGUGAACACACAGGGGCCGGCGUCGAAGAAAGGGAGUCGUGGAGGGGAGUGCAGUCGAUCGAACCAGCCACGAAAUGUACUGAACGCUCACUUAGGUCCGGAGCCCUGGACUGGCGCUUAGUACGGUGCUCUGCACACAGUAAGUGCUAAACAAUCGUCAUCCUGAUAAUCAUGGCAUUCAUGAAGCGCUUUCUAUCUGCCAGACACUGUACUAAGCGCUGGAGGGGGGAUACAAAGCAGAUCGGGUAGGACACAGUCCCUGUCCCACGUGGGGCUCCCAGUCUCCAUCCCUAUUUUACAGGUGAGGGAACUGAGGCCCAGAGAAGUGAAGCCAGUUGCCCAAGGCCACACAGCGGACAAGUGGCGGAGCCCAGAUUGCAACUCAUGACCUUCUUUCUGUCUCCCAGGCCUAUCCGCUAAGGUAAAUACGAUCGACUAAACGCUCAGGAGCGUUCAACGCAACAGAGCGAGUAUAGAUGAUGCCGGUCCCCGGGGAGCUUAGCCAUGAUGGCACCUGGAGAAUGAAGGUUACGUGCUGAAAAUCAUCAUCUCCCUAAUCAAGUCAAGUAUGAAUCAGUAGGAUCAUCUGGGAAUAUAAACUAUGAAACAGUCCCAGAAGCCCUGGCCAGAGAGGUGGGAAGCCUGAAGUCUAAGCCUGGAAGGCUCAUCCUUGCACCUUCCCUAGGAGAACCCAAGUCUCUCUGUGUCACAGAUAGUCAACAAUUCAGGCCAACUUGCCCUACAUGAAAGCAGGUAAAGGAGCAGCACGGCCCUAGUGGGUAGAGCAUGAGCCUGGGAGUCAGAGUACCUGGGUUCCGACCAUGGCUC
Molecule: long non-coding RNA, 915 nt
Filed under: Ornithorhynchus anatinus (platypus)
Lineage: Eukaryota; Metazoa; Chordata; Mammalia; Monotremata; Ornithorhynchidae
Description: lncRNA (ENSOANG00000041906.1)
Source: RNAcentral